This 73-nucleotide transfer RNA is filed under the name Geranomyces variabilis. RNAcentral describes it as "tRNA-Thr". It matches the Rfam family "tRNA". Rfam says of the family: Transfer RNA (tRNA) molecules are approximately 80 nucleotides in length. Lineage: Eukaryota; Fungi; Chytridiomycota; Chytridiomycetes; Spizellomycetales; Powellomycetaceae. The record is from RNAcentral.
GCCCGUGUGGCGCAGUGGUUAGCGUUCUUGUCUUGUAAACAAGGGGUCCCAGGUUCAAUCCCUGGUGCGGGCA